RNAcentral lists this transfer RNA (53 nucleotides) under Lepidoglyphus destructor. RNAcentral describes it as "tRNA-Arg". Lineage: Eukaryota; Metazoa; Arthropoda; Arachnida; Sarcoptiformes; Glycyphagidae. The record is from RNAcentral.
AGCCCCUUAAGUUAGCUUUUUAGACUAGUUUCGACCUAGUUUUUUAGUGGCUA